This 507-nucleotide ribosomal RNA is filed under the name uncultured Bacillus sp. RNAcentral's name for it is "bacterial SSU rRNA". It matches the Rfam family "Bacterial small subunit ribosomal RNA", at positions 379 to 876 of the family's 1533-position model. The record is from RNAcentral. Lineage: Bacteria; Bacillati; Bacillota; Bacilli; Caryophanales; Bacillaceae.
AAGUCUGACGGAGCAACGCCGCGUGAGUGAUGAAGGUUUUCGGAUCGUAAAGCUCUGUUGUUAGGGAAGAACAAGUGCCGUUCGAAUAGGUCGGCACCUUGACGGUACCUAACCAGAAAGCCACGGCUAACUACGUGCCAGCAGCCGCGGUAAUACGUAGGUGGCAAGCGUUGUCCGGAAUUAUUGGGCGUAAAGCGCGCGCAGGCGGUCUUUUAAGUCUGAUGUGAAAUAUCGGGGCUCAACCCCGAGGGGUCAUUGGAAACUGGGAGACUUGAGUACAGAAGAGGAGAGUGGAAUUCCACGUGUAGCGGUGAAAUGCGUAGAUAUGUGGAGGAACACCAGUGGCGAAGGCGACUCUCUGGUCUGUAACUGACGCUGAGGCGCGAAAGCGUGGGGAGCAAACAGGAUUAGAUACCCUGGUAGUCCACGCCGUAAACGAUGAGUGCUAGGUGUUAGGGGUUUCGAUGCCCUUAGUGCCGAAGUUAACACAUUAAGCACUCCGCCUGG